GUAGGGUGGCAAGCGUUGUCCGGAAUUAUUGGGCGUAAAGCGCGCGCAGGCGGUCCUUUAAGUCUGAUGUGAAAGCCCACGGCUCAACCGUGGAGGGUCAUUGGAAACUGGGGGACUUGAGUACAGAAGAGGAAAGCGGAAUUCCAAGUGUAGCGGUGAAAUGCGUAGAGGUUUGGAGGAACACCAGUGGCGAAGGCGGCUUUCUGGUCUGUAACUGACGCUGAGGCGCGAAAGCGUGGGGAGCAAACAGGAUUAGAUACCCUGGUAGUCCACGCCGUAAACGAUGAGUGCUAAGUGUUAGGGGGUUUCCGCCCCUUAGUGCUGCAGCUAACGCAUUAAGCACUCCGCCUGGGGAGUACGGCCGCAAGGCUG
This 372-nucleotide ribosomal RNA is filed under the name uncultured organism. Its description in RNAcentral is "partial 16S ribosomal RNA". It matches the Rfam family "Bacterial small subunit ribosomal RNA", at positions 526 to 896 of the family's 1533-position model. The record is from RNAcentral.